This 395-nucleotide ribosomal RNA is filed under the name uncultured bacterium. RNAcentral's name for it is "bacterial SSU rRNA". It matches the Rfam family "Bacterial small subunit ribosomal RNA", at positions 505 to 898 of the family's 1533-position model. The record is from RNAcentral.
GUGUCAGCAGCCGCGGUAAUACAGAGGGUGCAAGCGUUGCUCGGAAUUAUUGGGCGUAAAGGGCAAGUAGGUGGUCUCAUUUGUCUGGGGUGAAAGCCUUGAGCUUAACUCAAGAAGUGCCCCGGAAACGGUGAGACUCGAGUACUGGAGAGGGUCGUGGAAUUCCCGGUGUAGCGGUGAAAUGCGUAGAGAUCGGGAGGAACACCAGAGGCGAAGGCGGCGACCUGGACAGUAACUGACACUCAACUGCGAAAGCGUGGGGAGCAAACAGGAUUAGAUACCCUGGUAGUCCACGCUGUAAACGAUGGGAACUAGGCUUGGUGGGUCUUGACCCCUACCGAGCCGGAGCUAACGCAAUAAGUUCCCCGCCUGGGAAGUACGGUCGCAAGACUAAA